CGCCAUCUUGAUUGCUGAUUCGCGCGAUAGCGCACGACCAAUCAACGUGUUCGUCUACACCGAGGCUUCCUAUCGCGACGAUUUCCACGGAAUCAGGGAACGCACCACUGAGAACUAGAACCCCUUUUCCAGAAAUACCUGAGUAACAUGUAUAUAUUACCAUUACAAAGAUGAGCCAUAAUCUGCACUACGAAUCAGACAUAACAAGAAACGACAUUGCGAAGAAUAUGCGAAGUGUAACAGCUCGACACAAUGUAUGACAGCGGUGGAAAUAUGUCAAGGAAUUACUCAGGGGGGAUUUGCUCUGUAACUAUAUUUUCCAGAUUCGAAGAUCGCAGAAUAACAAAAAUUGGUAAACUUAUCGCGACGUUGAGUGGUCGUCACUUAUGCGAGAUCGUUUGUCACACGUGCUACUUCGUUUCUUACUAUUUCGGUACCGGGAAUUCCCUCGUGCAUGCACGGUUCUUUGUUCUUAUUUCGAUAUACGUAUAUUCGCCACAAACACACGUACAACGAACUCGGCUCAUACUCCGUCAGUUCGGAGCAACGUUCAACGUACGUGUGAACGCACUUUGUACACGAAUUAAAAAGAGAAAAGAGUAGUAGUACACGUGGCCAGAGCUACCGUGUGCAAGAUGCAUGGGAAAAAGGCCAUAAAAAUUAUCGUAAAAACAUGCCGCGUUAGAGCUAGACGCUCAUAAAAUUUUAUUAUUGCUGUGUCCUUUUUCUUUUUGGAAAUUUAUCUAAUAAACUUAGACUCUUUUCUUUUAUGUUAUCUUAUACGAAUCACAACUUGAAAAAUGUUAUUUCUAAAAUAUUUAUUUAAUAAAAAAGGAAAAAUGAAAAUCUUCUUCUAGAACGCAACUAAAGGUCCAGUUUUAUCUUUUCGAAACUUGUUACAUUCUCCAUUACAGAUGUUAAAAAAAUAAAACAAUAGUCAGUUUUAAAAUAAGAAUAAAUGGUUACCAGUCUUCACGUGUUUCGUAACAUUUCUGCAAAUUCCGUGUAUAAAUAAGAAUGCUAUUGAUAUUGUCGUUCGAUUAAGUAUGUCUCGAGCUAAGCUCCAAGAAGCAGACAUUGUGAUUUAUAAUCAUGUAUCGCACCUUUAAAAAGUAGUAUCACGUGCGACAGUUUAACAGGGCGAAAGUUACCCUCUGACCAGCUUAGGACGUAAAACCUUUAUCGGUUCCUUAAGGCGUAUAGACGGUAAAUACAAAUCCUAAUAGAUUUAUGAUCCUGCUUUGCUGAAAAGUUUUCCAGGCAAAGGCGCACUGUGUCAACAAAGUAUGAUUCAUAGACAUUCAUAGUUCGAGGUAAACAGAAAAUAAAAAAAAAAUGAAUUUAAGAUCAUUUUUUUAUGUGGUCUUCACAACACAUUAAACCUACCUAAUUGGAAUCUAUAUAUUUUCAUUCAUUUUUAAUUUUUCAAUUACACAAGCUUCUGAUUAGAACACAACCCGGUUAACAGACUAAAGGCGAUUCCUCGAUGAAUCGUGUCAAUCACGUAGUAAGAAGAAUCGAUGACCUCGCUUACGGCAACGUUUACCAUCGACGACACAAAGGAGUAGAAAACCGAAGAUCGACGUCGCGAAUGGAUCGCGGCUUUGUUCUCCCGGCGAACAAAGAGACAUUUUAAUGAGCACGCGGCCGAAGCAGCGGGGUUAAUCGAAUGUUUGUAGGUAAACCAAAAGAUCGGCGCAAGCUGCACGCGUGGCAUAACAAUAGUCGCCGAAAAUCAUACGAGGGAAAGGCGGAAGCCUUGAUCGGCCUUUGUAUGGGGAAAACUCGUUGUACUCAAAACACAAGACAACGACGGUAUUUUGAAUAUUUAAGGGAACAAAGAGGAAUAGGCAAUCAGAAACACCGCCAUGAAUCAGUCGAUUCUUCGUCUUCUUCUUCUUCUUAUAUACGUGUCAAAGGAUCCGCAUGCUUUUACUCUAGCCACGGAUAAAACACGAACGCCGAGCAUUCUCUAUCGGGAAUAAAAGGAGAUACAAUGGACGGAGGAAACACCAGGAAACAAGAUUAUGCCUUCGUGACUUUGCUGCCGAUCAAAUGCUUACCGAUUCCCGCGCAUCACGUUCCACCGACUAAUCGAAAGCUUUGAGUUCUAAGAAUACUUGGAUGCGUUCGUAGCAGAUAAUCCUUUGGACGAGGCUGUGUUUCACCGUUUUAUGGCUUCUUUUGAAGGAAAUUUUAGUCGACGGCUGCCAUGUUGCGACUUUAGUUGUCGAUAAACAAUUCUUCAAAGAAAAUUGGAAAAUCUUCCAUUAUGAAGUAAAUAUUUAAAAAUAAAAGCCUAAUAUGUA
Bombus pyrosoma is the source of this 2309-nucleotide long non-coding RNA. RefSeq lists it as uncharacterized. Lineage: Eukaryota; Metazoa; Arthropoda; Insecta; Hymenoptera; Apidae. The record is from RefSeq and is a predicted model, not a curated record. The transcript has 4 exons.